RNAcentral lists this ribosomal RNA (1369 nucleotides) under Limosilactobacillus fermentum. RNAcentral's name for it is "bacterial SSU rRNA". It matches the Rfam family "Bacterial small subunit ribosomal RNA", at positions 64 to 1421 of the family's 1533-position model. The record is from RNAcentral. Lineage: Bacteria; Bacillati; Bacillota; Bacilli; Lactobacillales; Lactobacillaceae.
UGCACCUGAUUGAUUUUGGUCGCCAACGAGUGGCGGACGGGUGAGUAACACGUAGGUAACCUGCCCAGAAGCGGGGGACAACAUUUGGAAACAGAUGCUAAUACCGCAUAACAGCGUUGUUCGCAUGAACAACGCUUAAAAGAUGGCUUCUCGCUAUCACUUCUGGAUGGACCUGCGGUGCAUUAGCUUGUUGGUGGGGUAACGGCCUACCAAGGCGAUGAUGCAUAGCCGAGUUGAGAGACUGAUCGGCCACAAUGGGACUGAGACACGGCCCAUACUCCUACGGGAGGCAGCAGUAGGGAAUCUUCCACAAUGGGCGCAAGCCUGAUGGAGCAACACCGCGUGAGUGAAGAAGGGUUUCGGCUCGUAAAGCUCUGUUGUUAAAGAAGAACACGUAUGAGAGUAACUGUUCAUACGUUGACGGUAUUUAACCAGAAAGUCACGGCUAACUACGUGCCAGCAGCCGCGGUAAUACGUAGGUGGCAAGCGUUAUCCGGAUUUAUUGGGCGUAAAGAGAGUGCAGGCGGUUUUCUAAGUCUGAUGUGAAAGCCUUCGGCUUAACCGGAGAAGUGCAUCGGAAACUGGAUAACUUGAGUGCAGAAGAGGGUAGUGGAACUCCAUGUGUAGCGGUGGAAUGCGUAGAUAUAUGGAAGAACACCAGUGGCGAAGGCGGCUACCUGGUCUGCAACUGACGCUGAGACUCGAAAGCAUGGGUAGCGAACAGGAUUAGAUACCCUGGUAGUCCAUGCCGUAAACGAUGAGUGCUAGGUGUUGGAGGGUUUCCGCCCUUCAGUGCCGGAGCUAACGCAUUAAGCACUCCGCCUGGGGAGUACGACCGCAAGGUUGAAACUCAAAGGAAUUGACGGGGGCCCGCACAAGCGGUGGAGCAUGUGGUUUAAUUCGAAGCUACGCGAAGAACCUUACCAGGUCUUGACAUCUUGCGCCAACCCUAGAGAUAGGGCGUUUCCUUCGGGAACGCAAUGACAGGUGGUGCAUGGUCGUCGUCAGCUCGUGUCGUGAGAUGUUGGGUUAAGUCCCGCAACGAGCGCAACCCUUGUUACUAGUUGCCAGCAUUAAGUUGGGCACUCUAGUGAGACUGCCGGUGACAAACCGGAGGAAGGUGGGGACGACGUCAGAUCAUCAUGCCCCUUAUGACCUGGGCUACACACGUGCUACAAUGGACGGUACAACGAGUCGCGAACUCGCGAGGGCAAGCAAAUCUCUUAAAACCGUUCUCAGUUCGGACUGCAGGCUGCAACUCGCCUGCACGAAGUCGGAAUCGCUAGUAAUCGCGGAUCAGCAUGCCGCGGUGAAUACGUUCCCGGGCCUUGUACACACCGCCCGUCACACCAUGAGAGUUUGUAACACC